RNAcentral lists this ribosomal RNA (963 nucleotides) under uncultured beta proteobacterium. Its description in RNAcentral is "bacterial SSU rRNA". It matches the Rfam family "Bacterial small subunit ribosomal RNA", at positions 8 to 967 of the family's 1533-position model. The record is from RNAcentral. Lineage: Bacteria; Pseudomonadati; Pseudomonadota; Betaproteobacteria.
AGAGUUUGAUCCUGGCUCAGGAUGAACGCUAAGGCUUAACACAUGCAAGUCGAACGGCAGCGGGGGCUUCGGCCUGCCGGCGAGUGGCGAACGGGUGAGUAAUGCAUCGGAACGUGCCCAUGUCGUGGGGGAUAACGUAGCGAAAGCUACGCUAAUACCGCAUACGUCCUGAGGGAGAAAGCGGGGGAUUCUUCGGAACCUCGCGCGAUUGGAGCGGCCGAUGUCGGAUUAGCUAGUAGGUGAGGUAAAGGCUCACCUAGGCGACGAUCCGUAGCGGGUCUGAGAGGAUGAUCCGCCACACUGGGACUGAGACACGGCCCAGACUCCUACGGGAGGCAGCAGUGGGGAAUUUUGGACAAUGGGGGCAACCCUGAUCCAGCCAUGCCGCGUGAGUGAAGAAGGCCUUCGGGUUGUAAAGCUCUUUCAGCCGGGAAGAAAUCGGCGUCUCUAACAUAGGCGCUGGAUGACGGUACCGGACCAAGAAGCACCGGCUAACUACGUGCCAGCAGCCGCGGUAAUACGUAGGGUGCGAGCGUUAAUCGGAAUUACUGGGCGUAAAGCGUGCGCAGGCGGUCUUGUAAGACAGAUGUGAAAUCCCCGGGCUUAACCUGGGAACUGCGUUCGUGACUGCGUAACUAGAGUACGGCAGAGGGAGGUGGAAUUCCGCGUGUAGCAGUGAAAUGCGUAGAGAUGCGGAGGAACACCGAUGGCGAAGGCAGCCUCCUGGGCCAGUACUGACGCUCAUGCACGAAAGCGUGGGGAGCAAACAGGAUUAGAUACCCUGAUAGUCCACGCCCUAAACGAUGUCAACUAGUUGUUCGGUGAGGAGACUCAUUGAGUAACGCAGCUAACGCGUGAAGUUGACCGCCUGGGGAGUACGGGCCGCAAGGUUAAAACUCAAAGGAAUUGACGGGGACCCGCACAAGCGGUGGAUGAUGUGGAUUAUUCGAUGCAACGCGAAAA